Molecule: RNA transcript, 976 nt
Organism: Populus euphratica (Euphrates poplar)
Lineage: Eukaryota; Viridiplantae; Streptophyta; Magnoliopsida; Malpighiales; Salicaceae
Gene name: transmembrane protein 50A-like
Exons: 5
Source: RefSeq, a predicted model, not a curated record
AUUUUCUUACCAAAUAUUAACCUAACGGCCAAUGAAUUUCUUUGUUUCACUGUGACGAGUGUAGCUUUUGGGGGUUAAGUCCGAUAACGAAGACUCACCCUCUUGUAGAAUGCAAAUUUCACGCAAUUCAUAAGAGCCUGGUACUUUUGGGCAGCAACAACAGUCAAAGCACUAAACACCGUAUCAAGUAACCAAAAAAACAAUCUCGAGAGAGAGAUACAAAUGGAUUUGCAGGAGUUGUGGGCAAUCCUCGGUCCUGCAGUCGCUGGUGCGGUAUUUGGGACUGGAUGGUGGUUUUGGAUCGACGCCGUCGUUUGUAGCUCCGUUGCAGUCUCUUUCGUUCAUUACCUUCCCGGCAUAUUUGCAUCUAUUGCAGCUCUGAUGUUUAAUUGUGUUAGAAAAGAGGAUAUUGAUUACUCUCCUUACGAGGAAGGCGAGUGGAGAUUGAAGCUUUGGCUUUUCUUUGCAUAUGUCGUCUCCUUCGUCUCUUUAGCAGCAUCAGUGGGUUUGUUGAUUCAAGAUUCAAUUGUCAAAACAGGGCCUUCAGUUUGGACAGGAACUGCUGGCGUUUUGCAGUGUGUGUUUGUGCUGAUAAGUGGGCUAAUUUAUUGGACCUCACAUUCUGAAUGAAUUGUGGUGAUAAGUACAUCUACAUGUUUUGAGCUUGGAAGCAUGGCGGAUGGAGUUGGCAGUGCAUGUACCCUUUCUUGUACAACCCCCGGGACAGAACAUACUUCUACAUUGUGUAAAUGUUUAUCCUGUGCUAACAGUAUCGAGCGUAAAAGCUGACCUGCUGAANUUUUCUGGAAUUUGAGAAUUUGAGAUGUUUGGUACAUAAUAAACUGAAAUCUCAUAAACUCUGGUGUUUCUUCAUUGGCCAUGUGCAGAAGCCAAAUUCUAUUGUUUUCAGGUUGUUCACGCAAUUAUUCUCAGUUUCGUCACAAAAUGCUCACAAUACCAUCACCUCUUUCAAUUU